UACAGAGGUCUCGAGCGUUGUUCGGAUUCAUUGGGCGUAAAGGGUGCGUAGGUGGCGCUGUAAGUCGGGUGUGAAAUCCUGAGGCUUAACCUCGGAACUGCAUUCGAUACUGCGGCGCUUGAGGACUGGAGAGGAGACUGGAAUUCAUGGUGUAGCAGUAAAAUGCGUAGAGAUCAUGAGGAAGACCAGUGGCGAAGGCGGGUCUCUGGACAGUUCCUGACACUGAGGCACGAAGGCCAGGGGAGCAAACGGG
This 253-nucleotide ribosomal RNA is filed under the name uncultured bacterium. RNAcentral's name for it is "partial 16S ribosomal RNA". It matches the Rfam family "Bacterial small subunit ribosomal RNA", at positions 524 to 776 of the family's 1533-position model. The record is from RNAcentral.